RNAcentral lists this ribosomal RNA (529 nucleotides) under uncultured bacterium. Its description in RNAcentral is "bacterial SSU rRNA". It matches the Rfam family "Bacterial small subunit ribosomal RNA", at positions 777 to 1304 of the family's 1533-position model. The record is from RNAcentral.
AAUAGAUACCCAGGUAGUCCACGCCGUAAACGAUGAGUGCUAAGUGUUAGAGGGUUUCCGCCCUUUAGUGCUGCAGCUAACGCAUUAAGCACUCCGCCUGGGGAGUACGGCCGCAAGGCUGAAACUCAAAGGAAUUGACGGGGGCCCGCACAAGCGGUGGAGCAUGUGGUUUAAUUCGAAGCAACGCGAAGAACCUUACCAGGUCUUGACAUCCUCUGCCAACCCUAGAGAUAGGGCGUUCCCCUUCGGGGGACAGAGUGACAGGUGGUGCAUGGUUGUCGUCAGCUCGUGUCGUGAGAUGUUGGGUUAAGUCCCGCAACGAGCGCAACCCUUGAUCUUAGUUGCCAGCAUUUAGUUGGGCACUCUAAGGUGACUGCCGGUGACAAACCGGAGGAAGGUGGGGAUGACGUCAAAUCAUCAUGCCCCUUAUGACCUGGGCUACACACGUGCUACAAUGGAUGGUACAAAGAGCUGCGAACCCGCGAGGGUAAGCGAAUCUCAUAAAGCCAUUCUCAGUUCGGAUUGUAGG